This 264-nucleotide ribosomal RNA is filed under the name uncultured bacterium. RNAcentral describes it as "partial 16S ribosomal RNA". It matches the Rfam family "Bacterial small subunit ribosomal RNA", at positions 793 to 1055 of the family's 1533-position model. The record is from RNAcentral.
GUCCACGCUGUAAACGAUGGGUACUAGGUGUUCAGGGUAUUAACCCCCUGGGUGCCGUCGCUAACGCAUUAAGUACCCCGCCUGGGGAUUACGGCCGCAAGGUUAAACUCAAAGGAAUUGACGGGGGCCCGCACAAGCGGUGGAGCAUGUGGUUCAAUUCGACGCAACGCGAAGAACCUUACCUGGGCUAGACAACAUCGGACCGUCCCAGAAAUGGGGCUUUCCCGCAAGGGACUGGUGGUUCAGGUGCUGCAUGGCUGUCGU